This 29-nucleotide non-coding RNA is filed under the name Mus musculus (house mouse). The record is from RNAcentral. Lineage: Eukaryota; Metazoa; Chordata; Mammalia; Rodentia; Muridae.
UAAAACGAUGACGCUUCUGAAAGAGGAGU